Molecule: non-coding RNA, 72 nt
Organism: Phytophthora infestans T30-4
Lineage: Eukaryota; Oomycota; Peronosporomycetes; Peronosporales; Peronosporaceae
Source: the annotation of a RefSeq genome assembly
ACCCUUUUAGCUCAAUGGUGAAGCGUUAGCUUUUAGAGCCACAGGUCAGUGGAUCGAACCCACGAGGGCACA